Molecule: unclassified non-coding RNA, 284 nt
Filed under: Mucor racemosus
Lineage: Eukaryota; Fungi; Mucoromycota; Mucoromycetes; Mucorales; Mucoraceae
Also listed under: 1 other name
Description: partial internal transcribed spacer region
Rfam family: Eukaryotic small subunit ribosomal RNA (bases 1-46)
Source: RNAcentral
AAGUCGUAACAAGGUUUCCGUAGGUGAACCUGCGGAAGGAUCAUUAAAUAAUCAAUAAUCUUGGCUAGUCCAUUAUUAUCUAUUUACUGUGAACUGUAUUAUUAUUUGACAUUUGAGGGAUGUUCCAAUGUUAUAAGGAUAGACAUUGGAAAUGUUAACCGAGUCAUAAUCAGGUUUAGGCCUGGUAUCCUAUUAUUAUUUACCAAAUGAAUUCAGAAUUAAUAUUGUAACAUAGACCUAAAAAAUCUAUAAAACAACUUUUAACAACGGAUCUCUUGGUUCUC